GCUCUGUAUGUGAAGAAUAUACUUGAGAAUACUACUACCAAACAAUUCAAGGAACUGUUCUCUUGUCAUGGAGAAGUAACAAAAGUAGUCAUGCCACCUAGCAAAGCUGGAGGGAAGCGUGAUUUUGGUUUCAUCCAUUAUGCAGAGAGGUCAAGUGCAUUAAAGGCCGUAAAAGACUCGGAGAAAUACGAAAUUGAUGGUACUUCUUUAUGAUUCAGUUAUAAACUGGGUUCUGUCUGAAUCAUGUUAAAACAUACACCUCUUUGUGAUGGAUUGGAACUUCAGGUCAAUUGCUCGAGGUUGUUCUUGCCAAACCUCAAGCUGAGAAAAAACCCGAUAUGGGUUACGGCAAAAAUCUAUUAACUAUAUCUUGUGCUAUCAUUUUGUCAAAUUGAUGCUUAAGUAUUUCAGGAAAGAAAAUUGAUGUUCUCUAGCUUUCAUUACUUUUUUGGACAAGGUAAAUUUAUGCUAUACCUUAAAGUUGAAAGGAAAGUAACAAUUGUGUUUUGUGCAGAGAACAGGGAGAUGGGGUUGCUUUCUACUCUAUUACCACAUGAAGUUUGCAUUUCUUGUUUCGCUACAGCUUCCUGCUAUUAAUAUAAGCUUAAUCAAACGUCUGCACAUUACUACUUUCCUUGCCGUGUUUUCAGAGAAUUUGCUUCGUUAGUUAGUUAGUUAAUACUAUCUUUUUUAGCUCUUGAGCAGGAUAUAUUGUAUUAUGCUAUUUUACUUCUCUUUUAACUAUCCUCUUCUAUGGGAUAACAUUUUCGGUAUAUUGGGUAGUAAUAAAUUAACAAAACCACAUGGUGCUUGUUGAACAGGGUGCAAAACAACUCUAUACCAAUCAUUUGCGUCCAUUCCUGUUGAGGCAUCAAGCUAGACUUGAUCAAGUUGUCGAUGUUGUGUAUGGUGAAAUGAGUAAAUCUGUCAUUGCACACCAGGUGGAAUUCCAACUUGCAAGAUCUCUAUGGAUGAACAUUUUAGUGACAGCAAAUCAAAUGGUUAGGAGUAUCAUUCUACCGGUUAGAAGGGAACCAAAUCAUAUCGAAGGACCAAAGAGGCUGUAGGUUCAGGAUUCUGAAUUAGACGAAGAGUGAUCUGUUUGUUUCUCGUCAUUAGACAAUCAUCGAUUGGAUAGUUUUAAAAUGUACAAAUAUUGUAAUAUGUGUGUAGUUUUGUCUUAGUUCUGAGCUUUAAAUUU
Long non-coding RNA from Arachis stenosperma, 1201 nucleotides. RefSeq lists it as uncharacterized. The transcript is spliced from 3 exons. NCBI's taxonomy places the organism in Eukaryota, Viridiplantae, Streptophyta, Magnoliopsida, Fabales, Fabaceae. The record is from RefSeq and is a predicted model, not a curated record.